CUCCCCUGUGGGCGCCGUGUCCCGCCGCGCCGCCUCGGAAAGGGUCUGCCCGCGGCCGUUGUCGCCCCCGGUGUUCCUCGGGGCGCGCGGGGCUCCACACGCCAGGUGUCGCGGUGGAGGGAGCUGAAACCCAAAAACAGCCGCUGUGGGCUGUGGCUGCCCCGGGACACCGCUCCUGGACUGUGGCAGGCGUGAUGGGAGCAGGCGCGGCAGGAUUUGGCUCCAGGAUGGUUUGAUAAGGAGCUGCUGGAAAACACCAGAGACCUGGAGAGCUUCUGCUUGCUUCCUGCUGGGAGGGUUACGUGGGUGCACCUGGGCCAGUUUUCCAUCCCUCCUUCCUGUUAACUCUCCCAAGGAAAAGCAACGUAGGCACCGAGUGUGGGAGUGCACUUUUUUCCUCCAAAAAGCAGAGUCUGAGGAAACAGGAAGGGACUGAAGCAUUGCAGAGCUCUCCGUGCUCGCGCCGUGGGGCGGCACCGUCCCUCCACCAAAACCUCAGACACAAAAUCUCGCAGUUCCAGAACAGAGACAACGCCUCGUGGAGAGGAUGUCAUUGUCAACGCCUGACAGUGUCCUGGUCACCACCCCAGCCACCGUGUUUGGAAUGAGGGAAAAAGGAGACGUGAAGAUGGAUGGAAAAGCCAAGCCCUCAUGGCACCAGUGCCCAGCACUCCCUGCAGCACCGUCAGUCCACAGGGAGGUGGAAUGAGCUGCCCAUCCCAUGGGAAUCUGGAGGGAGCGGCUUUGGAGCUGUCCAGGCUGUUGUUGCUG
Molecule: long non-coding RNA, 771 nt
Organism: Pseudopodoces humilis (Tibetan ground-tit)
Lineage: Eukaryota; Metazoa; Chordata; Aves; Passeriformes; Paridae
Source: RefSeq, a predicted model, not a curated record